GUCAAGAUGGCCGAGUGGUUAAGGCGCCAGACUUAAGAUCUUCGAGAAAGGCGUGGGUUCGAACCCCACUCUUGACA
RNAcentral lists this transfer RNA (77 nucleotides) under Daphnia pulex (common water flea). Its description in RNAcentral is "tRNA-Leu". It matches the Rfam family "tRNA". Rfam says of the family: Transfer RNA (tRNA) molecules are approximately 80 nucleotides in length. The record is from RNAcentral. Lineage: Eukaryota; Metazoa; Arthropoda; Branchiopoda; Diplostraca; Daphniidae.